Molecule: long non-coding RNA, 337 nt
Filed under: Mytilus galloprovincialis (Mediterranean mussel)
Lineage: Eukaryota; Metazoa; Mollusca; Bivalvia; Mytilida; Mytilidae
Source: RNAcentral
GGACCAUGUGGUAAACAUUGUGCAUUAUGCUCACAUAUAAAUGAAACCAAGGUAUUUUGUGACAACACCGGCAAAGAAUAUACCAUUCAGGGACAAAUAAAUUGUAAAACCGUAGGCGUGGUAUAUGCAAUUAAUUGUACAAAAUGUGAAAAAGUUAUAUAUGUAGGACAAACGGGUGAUACACUAUAUCAACGAAUGCUAUUGAACUUUUCAAAAAUACGAACACAGAAAACAGAAGAUCCAGUAGCCAACCAUUUCAUUCAGAACAAUCAUUCAAUGACAAAUUUAAAAGUUACCGCCAUAGAAAGAGUAUUUGGGACAGAAACUUACAGAAAAA